AUUAGAUACCCUGGGUAGUCCACGCCGUAAACGAUGAUUACUAGGUGUGGGGGGACUGACCCCUUCCGUGCCGGAGUUAACACAAUAAGUAAUCCACCUGGGGAGUACGGUCGCAAGACUGAAACUCAAAGGAAUUGACGGGGGCCCGCACAAGCAGUGGAGUAUGUGGUUUAAUUCGACGCAACGCGAAGAACCUUACCAGGCCUUGACAUCCCUUGCAUAGCUCAGAGAUGAGUGAAGUCCUUCGGGACAAGGAGACAGGUGGUGCAUGGUUGUCGUCAGCUCGUGUCGUGAGAUGUUGGGUUAAGUCCCGCAACGAGCGCAACCCUUAUUAUUAGUUGCUACGCAAGAGCACUCUAAUGAGACUGCCGUUGACAAAACGGAGGAAGGUGGGGAUGACGUCAAAUCAUCAUGCCCUUUAUGGCCUGGGCUACACACGUACUACAAUGGCACUCAAACAGAGGGAAGCGAAGGGGCGACCUGGAGCGAAACCCGAAAAAGUGUCCCAGUUCGGAUUGCAGGCUGCAACCCGCCUGUAUGAAGUCGGAAUCGCCAGUAAUCGCGGAUCAGCAUGCCGCGGUGAAUACGUUCCCGGGUCUUGUACACACCGCCCGUCAAACAAUGGGAGUGGUGUUUACCAGAAGUCGUUAGCCUAACCGCAAGGAGGGCGCUGCCGAAGGUAGGAUUGGCGACUGGGGUGAAGUCGUAACAAGGUACC
RNAcentral lists this ribosomal RNA (718 nucleotides) under uncultured bacterium. RNAcentral's name for it is "bacterial SSU rRNA". It matches the Rfam family "Bacterial small subunit ribosomal RNA", at positions 777 to 1500 of the family's 1533-position model. The record is from RNAcentral.